This 497-nucleotide ribosomal RNA is filed under the name uncultured bacterium. Its description in RNAcentral is "partial 16S ribosomal RNA". It matches the Rfam family "Bacterial small subunit ribosomal RNA", at positions 28 to 507 of the family's 1533-position model. The record is from RNAcentral.
GACGAACGCUGGCGGCGUGCCUAAUACAUGCAAGUAGAACGCUGAAGAGAGGAGCUUGCUCUUCUUGGAUGAGUUGCGAACGGGUGAGUAACGCGUAGGUAACCUGCCUUGUAGCGGGGGAUAACUAUUGGAAACGAUAGCUAAUACCGCAUAACAAUGGAUGACACAUGUCAUUUAUUUGAAAGGGGCAAUUGCUCCACUACAAGAUGGACCUGCGUUGUAUUAGCUAGUAGGUGAGGUACUGGCUCACCUAGGCGACGAUACAUAGCCGACCUGAGAGGGUGAUCGGCCACACUGGGACUGAGACACGGCCCGGACUCCCACGGGAGGCAGCAGUAGGGAAUCUUCGGCAAUGGGGGCAACCCUGACCGAGCAACGCCGCGUGAGUGAAGAAGGUUUUCGGAUCGUAAAGCUCGGUUGUAAGUCAAGAACGGGUGUGAGAGUGGAAAGUUCACACUGUGACGGUAGCUUACCAGAAAGGGACGGCUAACUACGUG